This 442-nucleotide ribosomal RNA is filed under the name uncultured bacterium. RNAcentral describes it as "SSU rRNA". It matches the Rfam family "Bacterial small subunit ribosomal RNA", at positions 26 to 518 of the family's 1533-position model. The record is from RNAcentral.
AGAACGAACGCUGGCGGCAGGCUUAACACAUGCAAGUCGAGCGCCCCGCAAGGGGAGCGGCAGACGGGUGAGUAACGCGUGGGAAUCUACCUGGUUCUACGGAAUAACACAGGGAAACUUGUGCUAAUACCGUAUACGCCCUAUGGGGGAAAGAUUUAUCGGUGCCAGAUGAGCCCGCGUAAGAUUAGCUAGUUGGUGGGGUAAUGGCCUACCAAGGCGACGAUCUUUAGCUGGUCUGAGAGGAUGAUCAGCCACACUGGGACUGAGACACGGCCCAGACUCCUACGGGAGGCAGCAGUGGGGAAUAUGGACAAUGGGCGAAAGCCUGAUCCAGCCAUGCCGCGUGAGUGAUGAAGGCCUUAGGGUUGUAAAGCUCUUCAGUGGGGAAGAUAAUGACGGUACCCACAGAAGAAGCCCCGGCUAACUUCGUGCCAGCAGCCGC